GCAGACGGGUGAGUAACGCGUGGGAAUCUACCUAGUUCUGCGGAACAACAGUUGGAAACGACUGCUAAUACCGCAUACGCCCUACGGGGGAAAGAUUUAUCGGAAUUAGAUGAGCCCGCGUAAGAUUAGCUAGUUGGUGGGGUAAUGGCCUACCAAGGCGACGAUCUUUAGCUGGUCUGAGAGGAUGAUCAGCCACACUGGGACUGAGACACGGCCCAGACUCCUACGGGAGGCAGCAGUGGGGAAUAUUGGACAAUGGGCGCAAGCCUGAUCCAGCCAUGCCGCGUGAGUGAUGAAGGCCUUAGGGUUGUAAAGCUCUUUCAGUAGGGAAGAUAAUGACGGUACCUACAGAAGAAGCCCCGGCUAACUUCGUGCCAGCAGCCGCGGUAAUACGAAGGGGGCUAGCGUUGUUCGGAUUUACUGGGCGUAAAGCGCACGUAGGCGGAUUGGUCAGUUAGAGGUGAAAUCCUGGAGCUCAACUCCAGAACUGCCUUUAAUACUGCCAGUCUAGAGUCCGGAAGAGGUAAGUGGAACUCCUAGUGUAGAGGUGGAAUUCGUAGAUAUUAGGAAGAACACCAGUGGCGAAGGCGGCUUACUGGUCCGGUACUGACGCUGAGGUGCGAAAGCGUGGGGAGCAAAC
Molecule: ribosomal RNA, 640 nt
Filed under: uncultured bacterium
Lineage: Bacteria
Description: bacterial SSU rRNA
Rfam family: Bacterial small subunit ribosomal RNA
Source: RNAcentral